CUUCUACUCCCUCCGUUCGGAAUUACUUGUCUCGGAUAUGGAUAUAUCUAAAACUAAAAUACAUCUAGAUACAGCCAUUUCUGCGAUAAGUAAUUCUGAACAGAGGGAGUAUAAA
This is a non-coding RNA of Triticum aestivum (bread wheat), 115 nucleotides long. The record is from Rfam. Lineage: Eukaryota; Viridiplantae; Streptophyta; Magnoliopsida; Poales; Poaceae.